Molecule: ribosomal RNA, 474 nt
Filed under: uncultured organism
Description: partial 16S ribosomal RNA
Rfam family: Bacterial small subunit ribosomal RNA
Source: RNAcentral
ACUCCUACGGGAGGCAGCAGUGGGGAAUUUUGGACAAUGGGCGAAAGCCUGAUCCAGCAAUGCCGCGUGAGUGAAGAAGGCCUUCGGGUUGUAAAGCUCUUUUGUCAGGGAAGAAACGGUGAAAGCUAAUAUCUUUUGCUAAUGACGGUACCUGAAGAAUAAGCACCGGCUAACUACGUGCCAGCAGCCGCGGUAAUACGUAGGGUGCAAGCGUUAAUCGGAAUUACUGGGCGUAAAGCGUGCGCAGGCGGUUUUGUAAGUCUGAUGUGAAAUCCCCGGGCUCAACCUGGGAAUUGCAUUGGAGACUGCAAGGCUAGAAUCUGGCAGAGGGGGGUAGAAUUCCACGUGUAGCAGUGAAAUGCGUAGAUAUGUGGAGGAACACCGAUGGCGAAGGCAGCCCCCUGGGUCAAGAUUGACGCUCAUGCACGAAAGCGUGGGGAGCAAACAGGAUUAGAAACCCUUGUAGUCCCAUGA